This 736-nucleotide ribosomal RNA is filed under the name uncultured bacterium. Its description in RNAcentral is "bacterial SSU rRNA". It matches the Rfam family "Bacterial small subunit ribosomal RNA", at positions 8 to 749 of the family's 1533-position model. The record is from RNAcentral.
AGAGUUUGAUCCUGGCUCAGGACGAACGCUGGCGGCGUGCUUAACACAUGCAAGUCGAGCGGUAAGGCUCCUUCGGGAGUACACGAGCGGCGAACGGGUGAGUAACACGUGAGUAAUCUGCCCUUCACUUCGGGAUAACCACCGGAAACGGUGGCUAAUACCGAAUACGACCAGCCUUCGCAUGAGGUGCUGGUGGAAAGUUUUUUCGGUGAAGGAUGUGCUCGCGGCCUAUCAGCUUGUUGGUGAGGUAACGGCUCACCAAGGCUUCGACGGGUAGCCGGCCUGAGAGGGUGACCGGCCACACUGGGACUGAGACACGGCCCAGACUCCUACGGGAGGCAGCAGUGGGGAAUAUUGGACAAUGGGCGAAAGCCUGAUCCAGCAACGCCGCGUGAGGGAUGACGGCCUUCGGGUUGUAAACCUCUUUCAGUAUCGACGAAGCGCCCUGUCGGGUGGUGACGGUAGAUACAGAAGAAGGACCGGCCAACUACGUGCCAGCAGCCGCGGUAAUACGUAGGGUCCGAGCGUUGUCCGGAAUUAUUGGGCGUAAAGGGCUCGUAGGCGGUUUGUCACGUCGGAAGUGAAAUCUUACAGCUUAACUGUGAACUUGCUUUCGAUACGGGCAGACUUGNNNCAUUCNNGGGAGAACGGAAUUCCUGGUGUAGCGGUGAAAUGCGCAGAUAUCAGGAGGAACACCGGUGGCGAAGGCGGUUCUCUGGGAAUGUACUGACGCUGA